GACGAACGCUGGCGGCGUGCUUAACACAUGCAAGUCGAACGGAAAGGCCCUGCUUUUGUGGGGUGCUCGAGUGGCGAACGGGUGAGUAACACGUGAGUAACCUGCCCCUGACUUUGGGAUAACUUCAGGAAACUGGGGCUAAUACCGGAUAGGAGCUCCUGCUGCAUGGUGGGGGUUGGAAAGUUUCGGCGGUUGGGGAUGGACUCGCGGCUUAUCAGCUUGUUGGUGGGGUAGUGGCUUACCAAGGCUUUGACGGGUAGCCGGCCUGAGAGGGUGACCGGCCACAUUGGGACUGAGAUACGGCCCAGACUGCUACGGGAGGCAGCAGUGGGGAAUAUUGCACAGUGGGCGGAAGCCAGAUGCAGCAACGCCGCGUGCGGGAUGACGGCCUUCGGGUUGUAAACCGCCUUCGCCUGUGACGAAGCGUGAGUGACGGUAAUGGGUAAAGAAGCACCGGCUAACUACGUG
Molecule: ribosomal RNA, 468 nt
Filed under: uncultured bacterium
Lineage: Bacteria
Description: partial 16S ribosomal RNA
Rfam family: Bacterial small subunit ribosomal RNA
Source: RNAcentral